GACGCCUAUCAUGAUGAAAUAUUGCGGAUGUAAAUCAUUAUCGUCUUGUCGGAAAAGCGCAACUUACACGAUGUCGAAACUUUCCGUUGCCUUCCUUCUGAAUUGAAGCGU
This 111-nucleotide small nucleolar RNA is filed under the name Colletotrichum salicis. RNAcentral's name for it is "Small nucleolar RNA Z13/snr52". It matches the Rfam family "Small nucleolar RNA Z13/snr52". Rfam says of the family: Z13 or snr52 is a member of the C/D class of snoRNA which contain the C (UGAUGA) and D (CUGA) box motifs. Most of the members of the box C/D family function in directing site-specific 2'-O-methylation of substrate RNAs. Lineage: Eukaryota; Fungi; Ascomycota; Sordariomycetes; Glomerellales; Glomerellaceae. The record is from Rfam by way of RNAcentral.